RNAcentral lists this ribosomal RNA (253 nucleotides) under uncultured bacterium. Its description in RNAcentral is "partial 16S ribosomal RNA". It matches the Rfam family "Bacterial small subunit ribosomal RNA", at positions 1249 to 1500 of the family's 1533-position model. The record is from RNAcentral.
ACGAAACAGAGAUGUGAAGCGAAACUCAAAAAAGUAAGUCUCAGUUCGGAUUGAAGGCUGAAAUUCGCCUACAUGAAGCCGGAAUUGCUAGUAAUGGCAGGUCAGCAUACUGCCGUGAAUACGUUCCCGGGCCUUGUACACACCGCCCGUCACACCAUGAGAGUUGGGGAUACCCGAAGCCUGUGAGCCAACUGUAAAGAGGCAGCAGUCGAAGGUAGAAUCAAUGAUUGGGGUGAAGUCGUAACAAGGUACC